GUGAGGAAUUUUCCGCAAUGGGCGAAAGCCUGACGGAGCAAUGCCGCGUGAAGGAUGAAGGCCUAUGGGUUGUAAACUUCUUUUCUCAGAAAAGAAUUAUGACGGUAUCUGAAGAAUAAGCAUCGGCUAACUCUGUGCCAGCAGCCGCGGUAAGACAGAGGAUGCAAGCGUUAUCCGGAAUGAUUGGGCGUAAAGCGUCUGUAGGUUGUUUAAAAAGUAUUCUGUCAAAGAUUAGGGCUUAACCCUAGAUAGGCAGAAUAAACUUUUAAGCUAGAGUUUGGUAGAGGCAGAGGGAAUUCCCGGUGGAGCGGUGAAAUGCGUAGAUAUCGGGAGGAACACCAAAGGCGAAGGCACUCUGCUGGGCCAAUACUAACACUGAGAGACGAAAGCGAGGGGAGCAAAUGGGAUUAGAUACCCGGGUAGUCC
Molecule: ribosomal RNA, 426 nt
Filed under: uncultured bacterium
Lineage: Bacteria
Description: bacterial SSU rRNA
Rfam family: Bacterial small subunit ribosomal RNA
Source: RNAcentral